AUUGAACGCUGGCGGCAUGCCUUACACAUGCAAAUCGAACGGUAACGGGCCUUCGGGUGCCGCCGAGUGGCGAACGGGUGAGUAAUACAUCGGAACGUGCCCGAUCGUGGGGGAUAACGAGGCGAAAGCUUUGCUAAUACCGCAUACGAUCUACGGAUGACAGCAGGGGACCGCAAGACCUUGCGCGGACGGAGCGGCCGAUGGCAGAUUAGGUAGUUGGUGGGAUAAAAGCUUACCAAGCCGACGAUCUGUAGCUGGUCUGAGAGGAUGAUCAGCCACACUGGAACUGAGACACGGCCCAGACUCCUACGGGAGGCAGCAGUGGGGAAUUUUGGACAAUGGGCGCAAGCCUGAUCCAGCCAUGCCGCGUGCAGGAUGAAGGCCUUCGGGUUGUAAACUGCUUUUGUACGGAACGAAAAGACUUCUUUUAAUACAGGAGGGUCAUGACGGUACCGGAAGAAGAAGCACCGGCUAACUACGUG
RNAcentral lists this ribosomal RNA (482 nucleotides) under uncultured bacterium. RNAcentral's name for it is "partial 16S ribosomal RNA". It matches the Rfam family "Bacterial small subunit ribosomal RNA", at positions 30 to 507 of the family's 1533-position model. The record is from RNAcentral.